AACGAAUGCUGGCGGCAUGCCUAACACAUGCAAGUCGAACGAGACCUUCGGGUCUAGUGGCGCACGGGUGCGUAACGCGUGGGAACCUGCCCUUAGGUUCGGAAUCACUCCCCGAAAGGGGUGCUAAUACCGGAUAAUGUCUUCGGACCAAAGAUUUAUCGCCUUUGGAUGGGCCCGCGUUGGAUUAGCUAGUUGGUAGGGUAAAAGCCUACCAAGGCGACGAUCCAUAGCUGGUCUGAGAGGAUGAUCAGCCACACUGGGACUGAGACACGGCCCAGACUCAUACGGGAGGCAGCAGUGGGGAAUAUUGGACAAUGGGCGAAAGCCUGAUCCAGCAAUGCCGCGUGAGUGAUGAAGGCCUUAGGGUUGUAAAGCUCUUUUACCCGGGAUGAUAAUGACAGUACCGGGAGAAUAAGCUCCGGCUAACUCCGUG
RNAcentral lists this ribosomal RNA (433 nucleotides) under uncultured bacterium. RNAcentral's name for it is "partial 16S ribosomal RNA". It matches the Rfam family "Bacterial small subunit ribosomal RNA", at positions 29 to 507 of the family's 1533-position model. The record is from RNAcentral.